GACGAACGCUGGCGGCGCGCUUAACACAUGCAAGUCGAACGGAAAGGCCCUGCUUUUGUGGGGUGCUCGAGUGGCGAACGGGUGAGUAACACGUGAGUAACCUGCCCUUGACUUUGGGAUAACUUCAGGAAACUGGGGCUAAUACCGGAUAGGAGCCCCUGCUGCAUGGUGGGGGUUGGAAAGUUUCGGCGGUUGGGGAUGGACUCGCGGCUUAUCAGCUUGUUGGUGGGGUAGUGGCUUACCAAGGCUUUGACGGGUAGCCGGCCUGAGAGGGUGACCGGCCACAUUGGGACUGAGAUACGGCCCAGACUCCUACGGGAGGCAGCAGUGGGGAAUAUUGCACAAUGGGCGGAAGCCUGAUGCAGCAACGCCGCGUGCGGGAUGACGGCCUUCGGGCUGUAAACCGCUUUCGCCUGUGACGAAGCGUGAGUGACGGUAAUGGGUAAAGAAGCACCGGCUAACUACAUG
This 468-nucleotide ribosomal RNA is filed under the name uncultured bacterium. RNAcentral describes it as "partial 16S ribosomal RNA". It matches the Rfam family "Bacterial small subunit ribosomal RNA", at positions 28 to 507 of the family's 1533-position model. The record is from RNAcentral.